CACAUGACUCUCGGCAAUGGAUAUCUCGGCUCUUGCAUCGAUGAAGAACGUAGWGAAAUGCGAUACUUGGUGUGAAUUGCAGAAUCUCGUGAACCAUUGAGUCUUUGAACGCAAGUUGUGCCCGAGGCCUUGUGGCCGAGGGCACGCCUGCUUGGGCGUCAUGA
RNAcentral lists this ribosomal RNA (164 nucleotides) under Boesenbergia rotunda. RNAcentral describes it as "5.8S ribosomal RNA". It matches the Rfam family "5.8S ribosomal RNA". From Rfam's summary of the family: 5.8S ribosomal RNA (5.8S rRNA) is a component of the large subunit of the eukaryotic ribosome. It is transcribed by RNA polymerase I as part of the 45S precursor that also contains 18S and 28S rRNA. Functionally, it is thought that 5.8S rRNA may be involved in ribosome translocation. Lineage: Eukaryota; Viridiplantae; Streptophyta; Magnoliopsida; Zingiberales; Zingiberaceae. The record is from RNAcentral.